Molecule: ribosomal RNA, 253 nt
Filed under: uncultured bacterium
Lineage: Bacteria
Description: partial 16S ribosomal RNA
Rfam family: Bacterial small subunit ribosomal RNA
Source: RNAcentral
UACAGAGGUCUCAAGCGUUGUUCGGAUUCAUUGGGCGUAAAGGGUGCGUAGGUGGCGUCGUAAGUCAGGUGUGAAAUCUCGGAGCUUAACUCCGAAACUGCAUUUGAUACUGCGGUGCUUGAGGGCUGGAGAGGAGACUGGAAUUUACGGUGUAGCAGUGAAAUGCGUAGAGAUCGUAAGGAAGACCAGUGGCGAAGGCGGGUCUCUGGACAGUUCCUGACACUGAGGCACGAAGGCCAGGGGAGCAAACGGG